This 30-nucleotide non-coding RNA is filed under the name Rattus norvegicus (Norway rat). The record is from RNAcentral. Lineage: Eukaryota; Metazoa; Chordata; Mammalia; Rodentia; Muridae.
UGCCUUAAUUUAAUCCCUAGAAGGAGCUAA